RNAcentral lists this non-coding RNA (85 nucleotides) under uncultured Prevotella sp. Lineage: Bacteria; Pseudomonadati; Bacteroidota; Bacteroidia; Bacteroidales; Prevotellaceae. The record is from RNAcentral.
UCUAAGGGGUGCUUCGGCUUUUGCCGUUGCUGAGAACAUACCCAAGAACCUGAUCCGGGUAAUGCCGGCGUAGGUAGGAUGCAAU